AUUUGUAGCAUACAAGGCACACGGCUCAGUAACGCGUAGUCAACCUAACCUAUGGACGGGAAUAGCCUCGGGAAACUGAGAAUAAUGCCCGAUAGAACAUUAUGCCUGGAAUGGUUUAUGUUCCAAAUGAUUUAUCGCCGUAGGAUGGGACUGCGGCCUAUCAGUUUGUUGGUGAGGUAAUGGCCCACCAAGACUAUUACAGGUACGGGCUCUGAGAGGAGUAGCCCGGAGAUGGGUACUGAGACACGGACCCAGGCCCUAUGGGGCGCAGCAGGCGAGAAAACUUUGCAAUGUGCGAAAGCACGACAAGGUUAAUCCGAGUGGUUUCUGCUAAAGAAACCUUUUGUCAGUCCUAGAAACACUGAUGAAUAAGGGGUGGGCAAGUUCUGGUGUCAGCCGCCGCGGUAAAACCAGCACCUCAAGUGGUCAGGAUGAUUAUUGGGCCUAAAGCAUCCGUAGCCGGCUCUGUAAGUUUUCGGUUAAAUCUGUACGCUCAACGUACAGGCUGCCGGGAAUACUGCAGAGCUAGGGAGUGGGAGAGGUAGACGGUACUCGGUAGGAAGGGGUAAAAUCCUUUGAUCUAUUGAUGACCACCUGUGGCGAAGGCGGUCUACCAGAACACGUCCGACGGUGAGGGAUGAAAGCUGGGGGAGCAAACCGGAUUAGAUACCCGGGUAGUCCCAGCUGUAAACUAUGCAAACUCAGUGAUGCAUUGGCUUGUGGCCAAUGCAGUGCUGCAGGGAAGCCGUUAAGUUUGCCGCCUGGGAAGUACGUACGCAAGUAUGAAACUUAAAGGAAUUGGCGGGGGAGCACCACAAGGGGUGAAGCCUGCGGUUCAAUUGGAGUCAACGCCGGA
RNAcentral lists this ribosomal RNA (856 nucleotides) under uncultured crenarchaeote. Its description in RNAcentral is "bacterial SSU rRNA". It matches the Rfam family "Archaeal small subunit ribosomal RNA", at positions 60 to 922 of the family's 1478-position model. Lineage: Archaea; Thermoproteati; Thermoproteota. The record is from RNAcentral.